This 615-nucleotide ribosomal RNA is filed under the name Paralongidorus koreanensis. RNAcentral's name for it is "SSU rRNA". It matches the Rfam family "Eukaryotic small subunit ribosomal RNA", at positions 1027 to 1831 of the family's 1831-position model. The record is from RNAcentral. Lineage: Eukaryota; Metazoa; Nematoda; Enoplea; Dorylaimida; Longidoridae.
CCACUACGAUGCACUAGCGAUCCGCCGAUGGAGAUUAUAUUGCCUUGGUGGGGAGCUUCCCGGAAACGAAAGUCUUCCGGUUCCGGGGGAAGUAUGGUUGCAAAGCUGAAACUUAAAGGAAUUGACGGAAGGGCACCACCAGGAGUGGAGCCUGCGGCUUAAUUUGACUCAACACGGGGAAACUCACCCGGCCCGGACACUGUGAGGAUUGACAGAUUGAUAGCUUUUUCAUGAUUCAGUGGAUGGUGGUGCAUGGCCGUUCUUAGUUCGUGGAGUGAUUUGUCUGGUUUAUUCCGAUAACGAGCGAGACUCUAACCUACUAAAUAGCUGAUACAUAUUUUUUGUGUAUUCGGCUUCUUAGAGGGAUUUGCGGUGUUCAGCCGAAAGAAAUUGAGCAAUAACAGGUCUGUGAUGCCCUUAGAUGUCCGGGGCUGCACGCGCGCUACACUGGCAAAAUCAACGUGCUUGUCCUGCCCCGAAAGGGGUGGGUAAACCAUUGAAAAUUUGCCGUGAUUGGGAUCGGAAAUUGCAAUUAUUUUCCGUGAACGAGGAAUUCCAAGUAAGUGCGAGUCAUCAGCUCGCGUUGAUUACGCCGGGGCCCUUUUUUGAAAAUUU